This is a small nuclear RNA of Fundulus heteroclitus (mummichog), 192 nucleotides long. RefSeq annotates it as U2 spliceosomal RNA. The transcript has a single exon. NCBI's taxonomy places the organism in Eukaryota, Metazoa, Chordata, Actinopteri, Cyprinodontiformes, Fundulidae. The record is from RefSeq and is a predicted model, not a curated record.
AUCGCUUCUCGGCCUUUUGGCUAAGAUCAAGUGUAGUAUCUGUUCUUAUCAGUUUAAUAUCUUAUACGUCCCCUACCCGGGGACCAUAUAUUAAAUUGAUUUUUGGAACUGGGGAGAUGGAAUAGGGGCUUGCUCCGUCCGCUCCAUGCAUCGGCCUGGUAUUGCAGUACCUCCAGGAGCGGUGCACCUCCU